This 460-nucleotide ribosomal RNA is filed under the name uncultured bacterium. Its description in RNAcentral is "partial 16S ribosomal RNA". It matches the Rfam family "Bacterial small subunit ribosomal RNA", at positions 338 to 795 of the family's 1533-position model. The record is from RNAcentral.
CCUACGGGCGGCAGCAGUGAGGAAUAUUGGUCAAUGGACGAGAGUCUGAACCAGCCAAGUAGCGUGAAGGAUGACUGCCCUAUGGGUUGUAAACUUCUUUUAUAUGGGAAUAAAACGUUCCACGUGUGGGAUUUUGUAUGUACCAUAUGAAUAAGGAUCGGCUAACUCCGUGCCAGCAGCCGCGGUAAUACGGAGGAUGCGAGCGUUAUCCGGAUUUAUUGGGUUUAAAGGGAGCGUAGGUGGAUUGUUAAGUCAGUUGUGAAAGUUUGCGGCUCAACCGUAAAAUUGCAGUUGAAACUGGCAGUCUUGAGUACAGUAGAGGUGGGCGGAAUUCGUGGUGUAGCGGUGAAAUGCUUAGAUAUCACGAAGAACUCCGAUUGCGAAGGCAGUUCACUGGACUGCAACUGACACUGAGGCUCGAAAGUGUGGGUAUCAAACAGGAUUAGAUACCCGUGUAGUC